RNAcentral lists this ribosomal RNA (397 nucleotides) under uncultured bacterium. Its description in RNAcentral is "bacterial SSU rRNA". It matches the Rfam family "Bacterial small subunit ribosomal RNA", at positions 64 to 507 of the family's 1533-position model. The record is from RNAcentral.
GAGCGCCGUAGCAAUACGGAGCGGCAGACGGGAGAGUAACACGUGGGAACGUACCCUUUGGUUCGGAACAACCCAGGGAAACUUGGGCUAAUACCGGAUAAGCCCUUACGGGGAAAGAUUCAUCGCCGAAGGAUCGGCCCGCGUCUGAUUAGCUAGUUGGUGGGGUAACGGCUCACCAAGGCGACGAUCGGUAGCUGGUCUGAGAGGAUGAUCAGCCACACUGGGACUGAGACACGGCCCAGACUCCUACGGGAGGCAGCAGUGGGGAAUAUUGGACAAUGGGCGCAAGCCUGAUCCAGCCAUGCCGCGUGAGUGAUGAAGGCCCUAGGGUUGUAAAGCUCUUUCGGCGGGGAAGAUAAUGACGGUACCCGCAGAAGAAGUCCCGGCUAACUUCGUG